UAAGUGAAAUCUUUUGUUACUGACCAUCUAGCUACAUGAACCAAAAAUUGUUUUGAGUGGUGGUAAGCAAACAAUUUGCUAUAAUGUAUUUGAACCUACUAACGUCUUAUAGUUAGCUACCAGAAUUCUUCGUAGAUAGUAGGUGUAUAAGAGAAUUUAUUGGUAGGCAAUUUGCUGUAUAAUCAAGUAGAAUUAGGUUGACUAUCUGUUUGCUGGUCUAGCUACGUGACAUUGUAACAAUUUUUUUUACAGAUUAAAGCCAGAUAUCAUGUCAUCAAUUGAGGGUACAAUGCAAAAAAACCUUCAAGACGAGGUGCAAGAUUGCAAUCUCCAAAUUGCUAUAGGUGUUGAGCAAAGACAGUCCGGAUCCGGGCCAAGUAAAGACCUACUAUACCGUAUAGCGCGAAAUUUUCGAGGCACUUAUAUUUCGUGGAUUGGCCUCUAAAAGCCAUUUCGUUGCACAAUGUUCGCGGAAUGACUGCUAACUGGAAGCCACGCCUUAAAUCUUUGCACGUUAUAGCAUGCAGGUAAUUAAUUAACAAUUUUCGUGGACUUAUUUUUCGUGUAAAAUUCUAACCCACGAAAUCCGCGAAAAUUAAGUCCCUCGAAAAUUUCGCGCUAUACGGUAUAUAGAGAUGAUG
Halichondria panicea is the source of this 641-nucleotide long non-coding RNA. RefSeq lists it as uncharacterized. The record is from RefSeq and is a predicted model, not a curated record. Lineage: Eukaryota; Metazoa; Porifera; Demospongiae; Suberitida; Halichondriidae. The transcript is spliced from 3 exons.